RNAcentral lists this ribosomal RNA (220 nucleotides) under uncultured bacterium. RNAcentral describes it as "partial 16S ribosomal RNA". It matches the Rfam family "Bacterial small subunit ribosomal RNA", at positions 524 to 736 of the family's 1533-position model. The record is from RNAcentral.
UACAUGGGGUGCAAACGUUGACUCGGAAUUAUUGGGCGUAAAGCGCGCGCAGGCGGUCCUUUAAGUCUGAUGUGAAAGCCCCACGGCUCAACCGUGGAGGGUCAUUGGAAACUGGGGGACUUGAGUGCAGAAGAGGAAAGCGGAAUUCCACGGUGUAGCGGAUGAAAUGCGUAGAGAAUGUGGAGGAACACCAGUGGCGAAGGCGGCGUUUCCUGGUCUG